Molecule: non-coding RNA, 21 nt
Filed under: Rattus norvegicus (Norway rat)
Lineage: Eukaryota; Metazoa; Chordata; Mammalia; Rodentia; Muridae
Source: RNAcentral
UAUAAAUGCCCCUCUUUGCUC